Molecule: ribosomal RNA, 448 nt
Filed under: uncultured bacterium
Lineage: Bacteria
Description: SSU rRNA
Rfam family: Bacterial small subunit ribosomal RNA
Source: RNAcentral
AGAACGAACGCUGGCGGCAGGCCUCAAACAUGCAAGUCUAGGGGGUGUAGCAAUACAUCACCGGCGGACGGGUGCGUAACACGUGGGAAUGUACUUACUGGUACGGAACAACUCAGGGAAACUUGAGCUAAUACCGCAUAAGCCCGAAAGGGGAAAGAUUUAUCGCCAGUAAAUCAGCCCGCGUCCGAUUAGCUAGUUGGUGGGGUAAAGGCUCACCAAGGCUCCGAUCGGUAGCUGUUCUGAGAGGAAGAUCAGCCACACUGGGACUGAGACACGGCCCAGACUCCUACGGGAGGCAGCAGUUGGGAAUCUUGGACAAUGGGGGAAACCCUGAUCCAGCCAUGCCGCGUGAGUGAUGAAGGCCUUAGGGUUGUAAAACUCUUUCGACGGGGACGAUAAUGACGGUACCCGUAGAAGAAGCUCCGGCUAACUUCGUGCCAGCAGCCGC